CCUCAUUGAGCGCAAGCUCACCCCGUUCUGUUCCUUUUGUUUUCCUUACAGGAAAAAUAAAUACAUUUGGACUGGAUUUGACAAAUGGCUGCCAAAUUGAGCUAGUUGAACAUAUCUUUUGCAUAGCUCAUGUAUUAAAACCCUAAGUGUACUUUUGGGGCGUUUGUUUUUGAUUUGGCAAACCGUGUGUAUAUAUUAACUUUUGAAACUUUUGUAUGUCAUUUUGAUUGGUAAACGCUAAAGUUCAGAUGUGAAUGUUUGUUAGCUAUUUCGGUUGGGUUCUGACGGGUCGGUUACUAUUCAUGGCC
Molecule: long non-coding RNA, 308 nt
Filed under: Coffea arabica (coffee)
Lineage: Eukaryota; Viridiplantae; Streptophyta; Magnoliopsida; Gentianales; Rubiaceae
Description: long non-coding RNA (CARA_LNC007745)
Source: RNAcentral